AGGGUGGACAUUAGGACCCAGGAGGCCAGGAGUCAGCUGCCUUCUCCCGACGGAGAGUAUUUCCGGGGCAGCACUCAGGAACGGCAUAUAAGGCCCGGUGAGGAGGCGUUCCUGAGUGUUGUUCAUCCGGUCUUCAAACGGAGCCAAACGGAGACACGAAGGGAGCGCGGGAAAAAGUUCAGGCUGUCUAUCAGGCCAGACGUGCUGCUUGCGUGGGCUCCCCCUCCCAUCUCAUCAUAAUCGCCCUUCAGGAGCGACGCAGGUGAAGCAGUGGCACUGAUGCAAGGUAGUUUCAAAGUAGUUAAAAUGGAGCAUGACGUUUCUGUUUUUAAUGUGACUUUUAACACUUUGAUGCCACGUGUACAUGUCCUAAAUACAGACCCUUGUGAGAUAGUGUAACCGCUUGGGAACCCGCAACCACAGACAGGGCUGUGUGAAGGAAAGGAAAUUUAAAUGUGAGUCACACCAGCUGGUAAUUAUUUUUAUGAUGGUUGUCUCACUGUGUUCUUAAAUCUCUUUUCUGUUGGUUUUAGGAUUGAUAUGUGCUUUUAGACUUGUCACUGUUUUUUAUCCCCACUGCUCGCUUUUAUUUUUUUAUCUCUUUUAUCUUUUUUUAAUGUGUUUUGUUUGGGGUAUUUUUAACCCCUUUUUACACUUGGCACUUU
Oryzias melastigma (Indian medaka) is the source of this 665-nucleotide long non-coding RNA. RefSeq lists it as uncharacterized. The record is from RefSeq and is a predicted model, not a curated record. The transcript is spliced from 2 exons. Lineage: Eukaryota; Metazoa; Chordata; Actinopteri; Beloniformes; Adrianichthyidae.